UGGCUCAGGAUGAACGCUAGCGACAGGCUUAACACAUGCAAGUCGAGGGGCAUCACGGGAGGUAGCAAUACCUUCUGGUGGCGACCGGCGCACGGGUGAGUAACACGUAUGCAACCUGCCCUGUACAGAGGGACAAGCGGUGGAAACGCCGUCUAAUCCCGCAUGCACUCUUCCGGGGGCAUCCCCGGGAGAGUAAAGGAGAGAUCCGGUACAGGAUGGACAUGCGGCGCAUUAGUUAGUUGGCGGGGUAACGGCCCACCAAGACGACGAUGCGUAGGGGUUCUGAGAGGAAGGUCCCCCACAUUGGAACUGAGACACGGUCCAAACUCCUACGGGAGGCAGCAGUGAGGAAUAUUGGUCAAUGGGCGGAAGCCUGAACCAGCCAAGUAGCGUGAGGGAUGACUGCCCUAUGGGUUGUAAACCUCUUUUAUAAGGGAAUAAAAUACGGGACGUGUCCUGUUUUGCAUGUACCUUAUGAAUAAGGACCGGCUAAUUCCGUGCCAGCAGCCGCGGUAAUACGGAAGGUCCGGGCGUUAUCCGGAUUUAUUGGGUUUAAAGGGAGCGCAGGCGGUCUUAUAAGCGUGACGUGAAAUGCAGCGGCUCAACCGUAUGAUGUGCGUCGCGAACUGUGAGACUUGAGUGUAUUCGAUGUCAGCGGAAUUUGUGGUGUAGCGGUGAAAUGCUUAGAUAUCACGAAGAACUCCGAUUGCGAAGGCAGCAUACCGGCAGCCCACUGACGCUGAGGCACGAAAGCGUGGGGAUCAAACAGGAUUAGAUACCCUGGUAGUCCACGCAGUAAACGAUGGAUGUUAGCUGUUCGGAGCGAAUGAGUUCUGAGUGGCACAGCGAAAGCGUUAAACAUCCCACCUGGGGAGUACGCCGGCAACGGUGAAACUCAAAGGAAUUGACGGGGGCCCGCACAAGCGGAGGAACAUGUGGUUUAAUUCGAUGAUACGCGAGGAACCUUACCCGGGCUCAAACGGCACAGUGAUACUUUUGAAAGGAGGUAGCUCUACGGAGACUGUGCCGAGGUGCUGCAUGGUUGUCGUCAGCUCGUGCCGUGAGGUGUCGGCUUAAGUGCCAUAACGAGCGCAACCCCUAUUGUCAGUUGCCAGCAGGUAAAGCUGGGGACUCUGACGAGACUGCCGGCGCAAGCUGAGAGGAAGGCGGGGAUGACGUCAAAUCAGCACGGCCCUUACGUCCGGGGCGACACACGUGUUACAAUGGCAGGCACAGCGGGAAGCCACCCGGCGACGGGGAGCGGAACCCGAAAGCCUGUCUCAGUUCGGAUCGGAGUCUGCAACUCGACUCCGUGAAGCUGGAUUCGCUAGUAAUCGCGCAUCAGCCAUGGCGCGGUGAAUACGUUCCCGGGCCUUGCACUCACCGCCCGU
Molecule: ribosomal RNA, 1391 nt
Filed under: uncultured bacterium
Lineage: Bacteria
Description: 16S ribosomal RNA
Rfam family: Bacterial small subunit ribosomal RNA
Source: RNAcentral